AGAAUCAACGCUGGCGGCGUGCCUAACACAUGCAAGUCGAGCGGUAAGGCCUCCUUCGGGGGGUACACGAGCGGCGAACGGGUGAGUAACACGUGGGUGACCUGCCCUCAGCUCUGGGAUAAGCCUGGGAAACCGGGUCUAAUACCGGAUGGGACUGCUUGCCGCAUGGUGGGUGGUGGAAAGUUUUUUCGGCUGGGGAUGGGCCCGCGGCCUAUCAGCUUGUUGGUGGGGUGAUGGCCUACCAAGGCGGUG
RNAcentral lists this ribosomal RNA (252 nucleotides) under uncultured bacterium. RNAcentral's name for it is "partial small subunit ribosomal RNA". It matches the Rfam family "Bacterial small subunit ribosomal RNA", at positions 26 to 278 of the family's 1533-position model. The record is from RNAcentral.